RNAcentral lists this ribosomal RNA (98 nucleotides) under Vibrio parahaemolyticus. RNAcentral describes it as "partial 16S ribosomal RNA". It matches the Rfam family "Bacterial small subunit ribosomal RNA", at positions 1 to 100 of the family's 1533-position model. The record is from RNAcentral. Lineage: Bacteria; Pseudomonadati; Pseudomonadota; Gammaproteobacteria; Vibrionales; Vibrionaceae.
AAAUUGAAGAGUUUGAUCAUGGCUCAGAUUGAACGCUGGCGGCAGGCCUAACACAUGCAAGUCGAGCGGAAACGAGUUGUCUGAACCUUCGGGGGACG